CAGCAGCCGCGGAAUACAGAGGGUGCGAGCGUUAAUCGGAUUUACUGGGCGUAAAGCGUGCGUAGGCGGCUUCUUAAGUCGGAUGUGAAAUCCCUGAGCUUAACUUAGGAAUUGCAUUCGAUACUGGGAAGCUAGAGUAUGGGAGAGGAUGGUAGAAUUCCAGGUGUAGCGGUGAAAUGCGUAGAGAUCUGGAGGAAUACCAAUGGCGAAGGCAGCCAUCUGGCCUAAUACUGACGCUGAGGUACGAAAGCAUGGGGAGCAAACAGGAUUAGAUACCCGCGUAGUCCCUGUCUCUUAUACC
RNAcentral lists this ribosomal RNA (301 nucleotides) under uncultured bacterium. RNAcentral's name for it is "partial 16S ribosomal RNA". It matches the Rfam family "Bacterial small subunit ribosomal RNA", at positions 509 to 808 of the family's 1533-position model. The record is from RNAcentral.